This 914-nucleotide ribosomal RNA is filed under the name uncultured Gammaproteobacteria bacterium. RNAcentral describes it as "bacterial SSU rRNA". It matches the Rfam family "Bacterial small subunit ribosomal RNA", at positions 28 to 916 of the family's 1533-position model. Lineage: Bacteria; Pseudomonadati; Pseudomonadota; Gammaproteobacteria. The record is from RNAcentral.
AGUGAACGCUGGCGGCAGGCCUAACACAUGCAAGUCGAACGGAAACGACAAGAACAAACUCUUCGGAGGGCGAUCUUGGGCGUCGAGUGGCGGACGGGUGAGUAACGCGUGGGAAUCUACCCUUUAGUUGGGGACAACAUAUGGAAACGUAUGCUAAUACCGAAUAUGCUCUACGGAGUAAAGGUGGCCUCUACUUGUAAGCUAUCGCUAAAGGAUGAGCCCGCGUUAGAUUAGCUAGUUGGUGGGGUAAAGGCCUACCAAGGCGACGAUCUAUAGCUGGUUUGAGAGGAUGAUCAGCCACACUGGGACUGAGACACGGCCCAGACUCCUACGGGAGGCAGCAGUGGGGAAUAUUGCACAAUGAGGGAAACCUUGAUGCAGCCAUGCCGCGUGUGUGAAGAAGGCCCGAGGGUUGUAAAGCACUUUCAAUUGUGAGGAAAGGUUAGUCGCUAAUAUCGGCUAGCUGUGACGUUAACUUUAGAAGAAGCACCGGCUAACUCUGUGCCAGCAGCCGCGGUAAUACAGAGGGUGCAAGCGUUAUUCGGAAUUACUGGGCGUAAAGCGCGCGUAGGCGGACUGUUAAGUCGGUUGUGAAAGCCCUGGGCUCAACCUAGGAAUUGCAUCCGAUACUGGCAAUCUAGAGUUUAGGAGAGGGAAGUGGAAUUCCCGGUGUAGCAGUGAAAUGCGUAGAUAUCAGGAGGAACAUCAGUGGCGAAGGCGACUUCCUGGCCUAAAACUGACGCUGAGGUGCGAAAGCGUGGGUAGCGAACGGGAUUAGAUACCCCGGUAGUCCACGCCGUAAACGAUGUCAACUAGCUGUUGGCCUUAUUAAAAAGGUUAGUAGCGUAGCUAACGCGCUAAGUUGACCGCCUGGGGAGUACGGUCGCAAGAUUAAAACUCAAAGGAAUUGACGG